RNA transcript from Brassica oleracea var. oleracea, 1595 nucleotides. It is a transcript of the gene named 1-aminocyclopropane-1-carboxylate oxidase homolog 1-like, with no coding region annotated. Lineage: Eukaryota; Viridiplantae; Streptophyta; Magnoliopsida; Brassicales; Brassicaceae. The record is from RefSeq and is a predicted model, not a curated record. The transcript has 6 exons.
UUCGACGAUGAGAUUCCACAUACUCCAAGCGUCGUUCCCAUCCCCGUAACGUCUCAACCUACCAUUAAUCUGUUCUUUACUCCGAGUGAUUACUCCACUCCGCCCACUCGCAGCAUUCAAUCUACCUCUUCAUUUCCCAUUGUAAUCGGGUGAAGCUUCAGCUAUAAAUAUCUGUCCUUUUCUGCGAGGAGGAGUACAAGUCAAACUAGAUCCAGAAGCAUUAUUUUUCCUUACAACCGAUUUCGAUGGCAUCUAAGUACACUCUCCUUGCCGAUCUAGAGCUGGACGAUGCUCUAACGUUAUGAAAACAUCUUCAACUAUCAUUACUGAAAUUGUCGAUCUCGAUCACAUCUGUGGAGCAAAGACAGCUGAGGUGACAAACACAUGGCUUGGAGCAGCAGAGCCAUGCCCUUGGAACGACAUGAACAAUUAUCAAGAUCAGACAAGCUCUUAACCCAAAGAGUGCACUAAAGCCGUCAUCGCUGGCUAAAACCGCAAUUAAAUCAGCUUCUAAAGAAAAGAAGAAGGGGGAAAGAAACAAAACAUAAAACCAUAUUAAGCAUGUAAAGGAAUCUCUGUCUCUAUUUCAAAAACUCACACAAAUGAAUAAAAACGUGUCUCUUUUGUGUUUUUUUGUUUGGUCGGAGAAUAUGUCAGGGAAGUAAUGGUUGAGUACUCAAAGGAAGUGAUGAAAGUAGGUAAAAUGAUCCUUGAACUUCUCUCAUAAGCUCUAGGAUACACAUUAAUCACCUCAAGGACGUGGAAUGCACCAAUUCAUUGCUCCCGCUCGGCCAUUACUACCUGCCUUGUCUUCAACCCGACCUAACGGCUUAACCAAACUCUCAGACAACUCUUUUCUCACGGUUCUUCUACAAGACCAUGUUGGAGGGCUUCAAGUUCUCCAUGACCAAUACUGGCUUAUUACAAACGGCAAGUUCAUAAGAGUGGAGCGUCUUGCUUUGGCGAAUGCAGCUGGAGCACGUAUCUCAGUGGCGUGCUUCUUUAGUUCGUAUUUGAUGGCGAAUCCUAGAGUUUACGUACCUAUCAAAGAGCUUCUGUCUCAACAAAAGCCUCCCAUUUAUAGAGACACCACCAUUACAGAGUAUUCAAAGUUCUACAGAUCAAAAGGAUUCGAUGAAACAAUCUCGAAGGAAGAGUCUUUGAGGACGAGACUAAGCGCAAGAAUAGUUGAUGAGGUUAAAGACGCAGCAGAGAAGUGAGGGUUCUUCCACGUGAUCAACCAUGGCGUUUUCAGUCGAUCUUCUAGAGAGGAUGAAAGAUGGAGUUCGCAGGUUUAACGAGCAAUCUCCUGAGUUAUGGCACAUUUUGCAACCGGAGGGUGUGAUGGUUUUGUCAAUCUUAACAACAAGAAGAGGCUGUAUCAGUAUUCAAAAUUUCCAUCAAGCAUAACAGCAUGGUCAGCUACUAGCUGUUGCUUCAAGUUACACAGUUGGAGAGGGGGAGAAAUCGCAAGUAUCAUCAUUCCCCCUUUAUAGUCCUCUGAAGUUUAUGCAUGUAUGUUUUUGAAAUAUUGGAUGGAUACACAGAUUUUUUUUUCUUAAGAACCCCUAAAUAAGAAACUAGCAUUAAAACAC